Molecule: RNA transcript, 1741 nt
Organism: Salvia miltiorrhiza (redroot sage)
Lineage: Eukaryota; Viridiplantae; Streptophyta; Magnoliopsida; Lamiales; Lamiaceae
Gene name: ethylene-responsive transcription factor RAP2-12-like
Exons: 4
Source: RefSeq, a predicted model, not a curated record
ACCUCGUUCCUCACGAUUUCUCACCUGCCUCUUUGUGCGAACCUCUUCUGCAUAUAAAAAAGGGUACCAUCUCUUAAACCCCACUCCAAUAUUUUCUCUCUCAUUUCCAACAAAAACGACAAAAAAUUCAUUCACAAACUCGAGGAAUUCGCUCAACAAGUCGAAGGAAAACCCAUAGUCUGCAAUGUGCGGUGGAGCUAUAAUAUCGGAUAUCGUGGCGCCGGCGAGCCGGUCGUCGACGCGGCUGACGGCGGAUUUGCUGUGGGGGAGCGCCGUCGCCGGAUUGAGUAGGAGGAAGAUUCAGGGGAGCUAUCGUCACUCCAAGCAGCUGAGAUCUGCGCCGAUCAUCGAUUUGGAGGAUGAUUUUGAGGCUGAUUUUCAGGAAUUCAAAGAUCACUCCGAUAAUGAGGACGAGACUGGCGCGAAGAAGGCGUUCGCGUUCUCAGCUGCGAAGAGUUCUAGCUUAAAAGGUAUGCCACCUACGGACACUGUUGAAUCUGACGAGGAGGCUGAGAAGUCCUCGAAAAGAAAGAGGAAGAAUCAGUAUAGAGGGAUCAGACAACGUCCUUGGGGAAAAUGGGCUGCUGAGAUCCGUGACCCGAGGAAAGGGGUUCGUGUGUGGCUUGGUACUUUUAACACAGCAGAGGAAGCUGCUAGAGCUUAUGAUACUGAGGCUCGGAGGAUCAGGGGCAAGAAAGCUAAGGUAAAUUUCCCUGAAGAUGCUCCCCCUGCUGCCUCAAGAUGUACUGUUAAAGCAAACUCGCAUCAAGAGGUUCUUAAGGAAAGCCCGGAGGCAGCUCAGCCCUACGAGAAUGAAAGCCUGAAUUUCAUGAGCAUGCUAAAUGAUGACUACUAUGAUUCAUUUGGUGUCAUUGAGGAGAAACCACAAAUGAAGUCGUUCGGCUAUGCUGAUGCCUACCCUUCAGCUGAUGAAAGCAAUCUAAAAUCACUCCCUCCUACUGAUGGAUCGCAUGUUUGCUUCAGCUCUGAUCAGGAAAGCAAUUCUCUUGAUUGCUCGGGCUUUGCUUGGGGUGAGAACUGUUUAAAAACUUCAGAAAUAUCAUCUGUGCUGUCAACGGUCCUCGAGGAUGAACAAGCUCAGUUCAUGGAGGAUGCUGGCCCAGCGAAGAAAGCUAAGACCACUCCCGAGAAUCUCGUGCCCAGUGAUGAGAAGGCUGCUAACAAACUCUCCGAUGAUCUAUCAGCUUUCGACUCCCAGAUGAAGCUCUUUCAGAUGCCAUAUCUCGAGGGCAAUUGGGAUGCCUCACUCGAAGCUUUCCUUAAUGGAGACGGAGCUCAAGAUGGUGCAAGCGCAAUGGAUCUCUGGUCCUUUGAUGAUGUCCCAGCUAUGCUGGGCAGUAUCUACUGAGAUUGCCGAGUUUGUUAAUGCCGGCUUUCUGUAAAUAAGGCUACAUGUGCGUUUGUUGCUGGUGAUGAAGAAACGGCAACAUUCCAAAGCAUGCAUAAAGCCAUGGAUGGUGUUGUACUAGAGCCUGCUUAAUGUGCAUUACAUAGCACCAUUUGUUUGUUCAUUGCAUCAAAUCAUCUCCAGAAAGAGGUAGCAGUAAUAUCUGGAGCUGGGAGGCAGCAUGCAUCUUUCAAAACCUGCUUUCUGGCUGACAGAUAUAUACAUAUAUGUUAUCUGGUUUUCUUGAUUCAUAUCCGGCAUUAGAAAUGCUUUAUGCCGGUUGUAAAUUUCCUAAAUUUUGAUGAAAAUGGCUUCCCUUAUUCUCAUUUUAAA